Long non-coding RNA from Pelodiscus sinensis (Chinese soft-shelled turtle), 1369 nucleotides. RefSeq lists it as uncharacterized. The record is from RefSeq and is a predicted model, not a curated record. NCBI's taxonomy places the organism in Eukaryota, Metazoa, Chordata, Testudines, Trionychidae.
CAGCCGACGGGCCCAGCGCCGUCGGGUCUCAUGAAGUCUGGCGGGGGGAGACAGGUUUUGCCUGCAGACCAGUUGGGUUUGCUCCGGGUUCGGCUGCUCUGCGGGUUCGGCCUGAGCUGGCUUGCAGGAUCAGAUGUUUCCGUGAGGUUUCAGGUCACCAAGGCCAGACAGUAGCGUCCUUCCUGCUGUGGCCUGACCCUGCAGCACUGCGAUUUGCGGCUCGGCGUCUGGCCCAUAAUGAAAAUAGGGAGAACAAUGGAACGAAGGGGGUAACUGGGUUUUCAGGAAGUAAAACCCGGUUGAGAUUGACAGACAAAUGCCAUGCGGGGCCCAUCCCCCCGAGGCUCCUUCCAUUUGGUGGGGCCGCAUCUGGCACUUCUGACAUCACCGUCACCUCCAUGGCAAUGCCUUGUGAUGUCACUUGCUCUGGAUUAUGACAUCAGCAAGAAGGUAGAUGUGCCAACCCCCCUCCUCCCCUGGGAGCAUCUUCCAAGCCAGCUGGUGGCAGGUACCAAGCGUAGGAACAGCUUCGCUGAUUGGCUGAAACUCGGACCUGGAGCGAGACCAGCCGCUCAUUUCGCAUAGGCCGCUGAACAGCCGGCGGAUGGUAACGUGCUUCGGUCGCUACCGACCCAGGCUGCAUUCCAAGCAGUGACCUCGAGCCUUCCAGCACCGUGCAUGGCCGUGGGGCAUGUGGCCUCAUGGAGCUGGUUCAACUUACCCAGUGGUGAAAUUCACAAGCCAGCUCGGCUCGGGCACAGCUGUCUCCUCUGCCCUGCUCCAGCAUCCGGCCGAGCUCCAGCCAGGAGGGGUGUCUCUUGGGUGCCACUGCGCCCUCUGCAGAUGCUGGUUUGGUUCAAACGCUGGACCAAACCCUCCCCCCACAGGUUUGCAGAAUAGCCUCCGAGCCCCCCGCUCUGGGGCGAAGACGCAGGGAACUGGGCCGCUGCUCUCUGAGAUGGGAGCCAAGCAACCGGAAGCCCAGGCCAGAGUGGAAGAGUCUUUCUGGACACCCAACGGGCUGGCUGGAGAUGGCAUGUUACCCCGGCCCCACUUCCGAGAGGCCUCCCCUUGGCAGCCCCUGAGGGCCAGGAGAGCUGGAGCCGUGGAGUGCAAGAGGAGAACUUUCCCCACUCGCCCCAGCGCCGGCCCAAGGCCAAGAAUCCGAUGUUCACUGGUCCCCCUGUCCGGCUAGAACAAGGGUGGCCAACCCAUUAAACGAAGAGAGCCGAAACGGCGGCGGAAAAAAUGCAAAGAGCCGCCCCAGAAUUGUUGAGCAAAAAAAGAAAAAGAGGACGCUGCCCCUUUAAAAACCACUGGCAGGUUUUAGGCCACGUCGGACGCCUGUCGGCCGCCACCAUCUUGAGGA